RNAcentral lists this ribosomal RNA (253 nucleotides) under uncultured bacterium. Its description in RNAcentral is "partial 16S ribosomal RNA". It matches the Rfam family "Bacterial small subunit ribosomal RNA", at positions 524 to 776 of the family's 1533-position model. The record is from RNAcentral.
UACAGAGGGGGCAAGCGUUGUUCGGAAUUACUGGGCGUAAAGGGCGCGUAGGCGGCCUUCUAAGUCGAACGUGAAAUCCCCGGGCUCAACCCGGGAACUGCGUCCGAUACUGGAAGGCUUGAAUCCGGGAGAGGGAUGCGGAAUUCCAGGUGUAGCGGUGAAAUGCGUAGAUAUCUGGAGGAACACCGAUGGCGAAGGCAGAUCUCUGGGCCGUAACUGACGCUGAGGAGCGAAAGCAUGGGGAGCGAACAGG